GUUUCGACUUCGACGGUUGAUAUGAGAGAAGCGAGCCGUGGUCUCCGGAGCCACGUUAAAGAGCCGGAACACUUAGAAACGCCAAUGUCAAAACUAAUGACCUGGCGCUCGCUGCCUAAUUUAGGUAACGGGUAACGGCCUCACUGCCUCAGCCUCUCGGGUAGCGGUGGCCCUCAUCUGAGAGGCUUGCCUUCAGUCAUCGCCAGUGUGAUUGAAGGGACUUUUAGCUGGAUAAGGUUGCUUGAUCUGGGGUCGCUACCAACUCGCAACCCGACAACUUGCAAAGCGACUGCGCUCGGAGAAGACUCAUUGAAACGCCGGGGGACGCGGGUUCGAUUCCCGCCACCUCCACUA
This 354-nucleotide transfer-messenger RNA is filed under the name Acidimicrobiaceae bacterium. Its description in RNAcentral is "partial transfer-messenger RNA". It matches the Rfam family "transfer-messenger RNA". From Rfam's summary of the family: Bacterial tmRNA, also known as 10Sa RNA or SsrA, is named for its dual tRNA and mRNA-like properties. The record is from RNAcentral. Lineage: Bacteria; Bacillati; Actinomycetota; Acidimicrobiia; Acidimicrobiales; Acidimicrobiaceae.